UUGGGUUGGGCCAGUCUCGGCUAACCAACUGGAUAAAUUCAUUGGACCAUUACAUGUGAGGGCUUAGUAGCUUUGGUCGGAACCUGUGUUACUAAGGGCUUAUUGGAUACAGGUGAAGAAGUAAAAAUAUAUUUAUUAAAAGGUAAACUCAAAAAUAGUCACUUUUGUUUGUUUCAGAUUACUUUUAGUUUACUUAAGUUAUUGUUUUAUUACAAAGUGAUCACUCUACCGUUAAGCUUCGUUACCUCUCUAACGGUGGUCCUAUGUGGCAGUCCAAAUUAAAUUUAUUUAUUUAAAAACCUAUUUUAAUCCUAACAACUGGAUAUUCAAGUUGGCAUUUAAAAC
This 345-nucleotide long non-coding RNA is filed under the name Gossypium barbadense (sea-island cotton). RNAcentral's name for it is "long non-coding RNA (GBAR_LNC006140)". Lineage: Eukaryota; Viridiplantae; Streptophyta; Magnoliopsida; Malvales; Malvaceae. The record is from RNAcentral.